AACGCAUAUUGCGCCCGCAGCUUCGGCCUAGGGCAUGUCUGCCUCAGUAUCCUAUUGACCACACUCCCAUGGGCGGUUGUGCAGGUGAGUCCUGCACAGGGAGUGGAUCUGGCUCUUCCCUUACCGGACGCCUCCCGGAUUGGGUUAGCUGAAAAGGAGACAAGCAGCGAACCAACGUUAACCCGGCAGGUAGUUUUACUUACCUACAGGAAGUUGUCGGUGGUUCGUGGACUUGCAGCAGGAUUGGCUUUGCCGGGUUGACCUGAGCUCAGACAAGACUACCCGCUGAACUUAA
This 295-nucleotide unclassified non-coding RNA is filed under the name uncultured soil eukaryote. Its description in RNAcentral is "sequence contains 5.8S rRNA gene, ITS2, 28S rRNA gene". The record is from RNAcentral.